CGGCGAGUGAAGCGGCAACAGCUCAAAUUUGAAAUCUGGCUCUCGGGCCCGAGUUGUAAUUUGUAGAGGAUGACUUUGAUGCGGUGCCUUCCGAGUUCCCUGGAACGGGACGCCAUAGAGGGUGAGAGCCCCGUCUGGUUGGAUGCCAAAUCUCUGUAAGUCUCCUUCGACGAGUCGAGUAGUUUGGGAAUGCUGCUCUAAAUGGGAGGUAUAUGUCUUCUAAAGCUAAAUACCGGCCAGAGACCGAUAGCGCACAAGUAGAGUGAUCGAAAGAUGAAAAGCACUUUGAAAAGAGAGUUAAAAAGUACGUGAAAUUGUUGAAAGGGAAGCGUUUAUGACCAGACUUGGGCUUGGUUAAUCAUCUGGGGUUCUCCCCAGUGCACUUUUCCAGUCCAGGCCAGCAUCAGUUUUCGCCGGGGGAUAAAGGCUUCGGGAAUGUGGCUCCCCUCGGGGAGUGUUAUAGCCCGUUGUGUAAUACCCUGGCGGGGACUGAGGUUCGCGCUUCUGCAAGGAUGCUGGCGUAAUGGUCAUCAACGACCCGUCUUGAAACACGGACCAAGGAGUCGUCUUCGUAUG
Molecule: ribosomal RNA, 576 nt
Filed under: Fusarium sp.
Lineage: Eukaryota; Fungi; Ascomycota; Sordariomycetes; Hypocreales; Nectriaceae
Description: partial large subunit ribosomal RNA
Rfam family: Eukaryotic large subunit ribosomal RNA
Source: RNAcentral